UUUUGGCAAAAGGAAGACUUAAACUCCCCUAGAUGAAUUUACAGCUCACCGCCUAAUCUCUCAGCCAUUUUACCA
Molecule: transfer RNA, 75 nt
Filed under: Stenocercus cupreus
Lineage: Eukaryota; Metazoa; Chordata; Lepidosauria; Squamata; Tropiduridae
Description: tRNA-Tyr
Source: RNAcentral